Molecule: long non-coding RNA, 588 nt
Filed under: Dasypus novemcinctus (nine-banded armadillo)
Lineage: Eukaryota; Metazoa; Chordata; Mammalia; Cingulata; Dasypodidae
Description: lncRNA (ENSDNOG00000050025.1)
Source: RNAcentral
AUGUGUAUUUACUCAUUACUUAUUUAUUUAAACAGUUCAGAAACUAUUGCCAGAUGUUGGUAUAUUCUGCUUUCUGGAUCUGUGCUUAUGAAAGACUCCAUGGUCUUGCCUCCCUGCAGGACGCAACUAAGAUUUCAUAUUUCUGAAGUUUUGGUAAGCAGUUUGGAGGAAAAAGAGGAUGUGAUUGUCUUGUAUUAGAGCCUUCAGAAAUGAUUGUGGUAAGAACUUUAAAGAAUGCUGAAUUGUUGUGUUUUUUUUAAUAUGCUUCAAAUUAUAAAUUUAAAUGUGGUAGGUUUUCAACACUCAAGGAGGUUCUGUUAUUUGGAUCUUUUAGAGGUUUUAAGUAAUAUCCAAACCAUAUGCCACAAUGAAAUGUGUUUUCCUCUUUCAAAAUUUCUCUGAUUUCUUGAAAGAAUUUGAAAUAUGACACAAUUAUACAUAACUUUCCAAAUUUGGCAAUGUAUUUUACUACCACUUCAUCAGAAAAUUAAAGUCUUUGAAAAGGGACCAUGAUUUUUCAAGUGUUUUUUCAUUUCCCAUUCAUUUUGACUAAUAGUCUGUAAUCAUCCUAUACUAUGACAAGAAGGU